RNAcentral lists this ribosomal RNA (492 nucleotides) under uncultured bacterium. Its description in RNAcentral is "partial 16S ribosomal RNA". It matches the Rfam family "Bacterial small subunit ribosomal RNA", at positions 28 to 507 of the family's 1533-position model. The record is from RNAcentral.
GAUGAACGCUAGCUACAGGCUUAACACAUGCAAGUCGAGGGGAAACGGCAUCGAAAGCUUGCUUUUGAUGGGCGUCGACCGGCGCACGGGUGAGUAACGCGUAUCCAACCUGCCCAUCACUUGGGAAUAACCUUGCGAAAGUAAGACUAAUGCCCAAUGACAUCCCACGAAGGCAUCCGAAUGGGAUUAAAGAUUUAUCGGUGAUGGAUGGGGAUGCGUCUGAUUAGCUUGUUGGCGGGGUGACGGCCCACCAAGGCAACGAUCAGUAGGGGUUCUGAGAGGAAGGGCCCCCACAUUGGAACCGGGAAACGGGCCAAACUGAUACGGGAGACAGCAGUGAGGAAGAUUGGUGAAUGGGAGAGAGCCUGAACCAGCCAAGUAGCGUGCAGGAUGACGGCCCUAUGGGUUGUAAACUGCUUUUAUAAGGGAAUAAAGUGGGUCACGUGUGACUUUUUGCAUGUACCUUAUGAAUAAGGACCGGCUAAUUACGUG